Molecule: unclassified non-coding RNA, 862 nt
Filed under: Hevea brasiliensis (rubber tree)
Lineage: Eukaryota; Viridiplantae; Streptophyta; Magnoliopsida; Malpighiales; Euphorbiaceae
Source: RNAcentral
GAGAGAGAGAGAGAGAGAAAUGGGGAGAGGGAGGGAGAUAGAUGCAGGGGAGAGAAGAGAGAGAAAUGAGGUAGGGGAUGUAAGUGCUAUGUAAGACGGGAGUAUAGUUGGAUUGCAUUUGGACAGAAUGAUUAUUUAGUAGACAGAAUAGCAUAGAAAGUUAUGGACUAAUGUAAAUGUCAAAAUUCAAGGGCCAACUAACAAAUAAUAUAAAAAAUUGAGGACUUCAAAUUAAUUCACCUAAUUUUUUAGAGCAAAUGAUAUGUUUAGGCUUUGCAUUGGGAGCGAGUGGAAUCAUGGAGGGGACUAAUUUAACUUUGGCCAAUUCAUCACUAUUCACUACCAUUUCUUUUCCUUUUUAAUCAGUUCUUUAGUUGAUUAUGACUCUUGGAAAUUUAUUUAGGCCAAUCUGAAUGUAAGUUUUGUCUUCCUUAGAUACUCUUGUCUUCUUCACCCAGUAAUAGGUUCUGAUGCAUGUGUGUUGCCUUUCCCCUUGUUUUCUUCCCUAAUGUGAGAUUUAGUCUUUGUCCUACAUAGAUUUAUUGUUUCGACUUUCAUCGUGGGAGAAUGUUCACUAGUUUCUGAACUCAUAAUAAAGAACCGAGGUGGUCCGCUCUUGCCCACUGAUUGCUCUUUGAAAAAUAAAUACUGAGACCUAAUCCACAGUGAAUGCCAAAAAACUGUGUUAUACUUGAUGUUGACAAGAAAAAUGGACCACUUGGCAGAAAAUUGAUGCUUCACAUGCAUUUGUUUUUACCGUUUUCCCUUUGAACUCUUUUGAUAUUUUUUUUCUGGUCUGUCAGAUAACAAUUUCAAUGCUGCUUUUCUUCUGUGAUGUUAUAAUCAUUGCAGGAGGACCUUC